RNAcentral lists this long non-coding RNA (508 nucleotides) under Olea europaea (common olive). Its description in RNAcentral is "long non-coding RNA (OEUR_LNC009963)". Lineage: Eukaryota; Viridiplantae; Streptophyta; Magnoliopsida; Lamiales; Oleaceae. The record is from RNAcentral.
GGUGUGCGUGUGCAAUCAAUUCACCGGAAUGAAGAGUAGUUACUAGCAGUUAGUGAAGACCUGUAAAGCUAAUGUACAAAAAACUGAAAUUAAACUAUUUUUAUUGCUCCUAUUGUUGAACAAAAUCCUAAAAAUUUCAUCAUUACUAUCUCUCCCCUCUUCCCCUUUAUAAUUACAAUUUCACCAUCACAUUCUCCCCUUUCCUGUUUAUAAUUACAGCAGGAGAAAGAAGUUUUCAUUACAGGAGAAAAUGGCUACUGGCCGAAAUCCUUACCGGAGAACCGGGCAAUUGAUUUCUGAGCACCGCCGCCGUCUCCGAUGGCAACUUGUCUCCAGUCAUCUCUCACAAAGGACAAAGUUGUAACGGGUUUCCUUGAACAUUCACCUGAAGUCCAGGCUGAUAUUAUUUUGCUAAAUGUGAUUGUGAAGAUGUUAGAUGAAGGUGGGAGUUCUUGAUUCGUGAACAUGAAGAUUUGAGAAAAUGGGAGUUUUGAUAUGUUUAUUUUCG